AUUGAACGAUGGCGGCAGGCCUAACACAUGCAAGUCGAACGAGUGGCGGACGGGUGAGUAAUGUCUGGGAAACUGCCCGAUGGAGGGGGAUAACUACUGGAAACGGUAGCUAAUACCGCAUACCAUCGGAUGUGCCCAGAUGGGAUUAGCUAGUAGGUGGGGUAAAGGCUCACCUAGGCGACGAUCCCUAGCUGGUCUGAGCGGAUGACCAGCCACACGGUAACUGAGACACGGUCCAGACUCCGCCGGAAGGCAGCAGUGGGGAAUAUUGCACAAUGGGCGCAAUCUUGAGGCAGCCAUGCCGCGUGUAGGAAGAAGGCCUUCGGGUUGUAAAGCACUUUCAGCGGGGAGGCGUUACCCGCAGAAGAAGCACCGGCUAACUCCGUGCCAGCAGCCGCGGUAAUUC
RNAcentral lists this ribosomal RNA (406 nucleotides) under uncultured bacterium. RNAcentral's name for it is "partial 16S ribosomal RNA". It matches the Rfam family "Bacterial small subunit ribosomal RNA", at positions 30 to 526 of the family's 1533-position model. The record is from RNAcentral.